GACGUUCUGAGAUGAGAAGCCAGGCCGUCAUCUGCUGCUACAAAAACCGACUGCGUGUUUUGUAAUUCUAUAUUCUUCUCAGGUCAAGCAAUGAAGACACUGCAGUUUAUUGUUGUCAUAUGCUUGCUAGCAAGCGUAUUGCACACAAGUUCUGGACUAAGGUCGAUAUGGCAACACAAAACUUGCCUUAAAUUUUGCCACCCAAGCCAGCCAAAUUGCAAGAGUGGUUGCACCUGCUUUUCGUUCUUUUUCUCCGAUUACAUUGGUGCCUGUCUCAACGCAAGUAUUUCUCGACCAUGGAUGUUCCGCGCAAUAAGAGGUACUCAUGCUGAGUAAACGUACACCAUUCGUUGGCAAAGUUUUGUUCCAAAUAAAAAUCGCUGCAUUGUAACGUGUC
Molecule: long non-coding RNA, 397 nt
Organism: Rhipicephalus microplus (southern cattle tick)
Lineage: Eukaryota; Metazoa; Arthropoda; Arachnida; Ixodida; Ixodidae
Source: RefSeq, a predicted model, not a curated record